Molecule: unclassified non-coding RNA, 1637 nt
Filed under: Hevea brasiliensis (rubber tree)
Lineage: Eukaryota; Viridiplantae; Streptophyta; Magnoliopsida; Malpighiales; Euphorbiaceae
Source: RNAcentral
AAGCUAGCAAGUUUUGUAGGUAACAAGUUUGAGGUGCUACAGAUGGGAAGAGGAAGCUUGCGUUAGUGCCUUGAGAGAGUGCAGCGUCCUAAAGGUGAGGGAGGCCUUGGGUUUAAGGAUUCGAAGUUGUUGAAUUUGGCCUACUUUACAAAGUUAGGGUAUGAGAUCUUGAUCAGAAAAGAUGACUUGGGGGUGAAGCUUUUAUGCUUUAAAUAUAAGUUGAGGGUGCAACAGUUCCCUAAUCAGAUUGCUAAGACAAAUCGCUCAGUGACUUGGAGAAGGCUUGCAUUCCAUGCUUAAAGGGAUUAGAUGAUCUUUGGGGUAUGGUACUCGUGCCAAGUUUUGGGUGGAUUAUUGGCUUCCUCACGGAGUGAGGUUAUUAGCCUGUGUUGUUAAGGAAAUUCCUUUAGAUUUCCUAUGCUAUAAGGCUGCUAAAUAUGCAGAUGGGUUUAGGGGCUAGGUGUGGGAGAAGUUUAGGGAUUUUUUAUCUGAAGAUGUUUUAUUAUUGAUUGUUGCCACUUUGCCUCCUUAUGUUCUCAAUGGGGUGGAUCUAAGAAAGGGAAGUUUACUGUUGGGAGUGCCUAUCAUGUGCUUAAUGGGAAAGAUGUGGGGUUGAAUCAACGUAUUUGAAGAAUGGUUUGGAAAUUGCAGGGACCGUACAGAAUUAGAAUUUUUCCUUGGGUUGGUUUUAAGCGGCGGUUUGCUCACAUGUGCGGAACGCCUUCAAAGACAUCUUAGUAAGUCUAGUCAAUGCCAAUUAUGUUUUUGCCAAAAGGAAACGCUGGAGCAUGCUUUGAGGGAUUGUGAUUUUGCUAAGUUUGGUGCGUAAAAAGAUUGUGCUAGGGGAGUUGGUCUUGGAAUGGAGCCAAAGUGAGUUGCCUGUGUCAAAUUGAGUGAUUGGUAUCCUAGAGAUGGAAUGGAAGCAUAGUAGUGGAGUGAAAUGGGCUGUGUUGUUUGGUGUGACAUGUUAGGUGCUUUGGAAGCAAAGAAAUAAGGCUGUUUUUUUUUCUAAUGAAGCUAUUGGGGUGGAUGGUGGUUCAUUUGUGCAUUUCCUCAGCAGUAGCUUUUGAGGAAGUUGUUUGAUAAGGUUCCUAUUGGAAUUGUAGGGUAGAGGUGUAAGGAGGAUAGAUGGAUUUGCUUGGUGCCUGCUCCUGUUGAGUGGAUGAAAUUAAAUUCCAAUGGUUCUUUCAAGGGUGAGUCAGGAAACGCUUAUAGGGGAGGGUUAAUUCGAGAUUUGGAAGAGAGGUGGGUUGUUGGAUAUAUUUUAAACUUGGGCGAGAGCACAGUUACAGGGGCAGAGCCUUGGGCAUUCGUAGCUGAUUUGAAUGUUGCAUGGGAUUUCGGUAUUCGGAGGCUUAUUAUUAAAUGUCAUAAUGCUAGUGUAGUUCAGUGGUUGUGUGGGAUAAAGGAAUGAUGGGCUGUCCUAGAUCUCUGUUGGUGGUGAUUAAGCAAUUGUUGUGUUAUAAUUGGGAGGUGAAGGUGCAGCAUAUAUAUAGAGGCUAACAUGUGGGCUGAAAAGCUUGCUGAUGUUGCUGGGAAUUUUCCUUUGGCAGUGCAUAUUUUGUCGUUCCUGCCUAAUGAGAUCAAGUCUUUGUUAAGGCAACAUAUUAUUGGAGUGGCUCAGUUCAAAGUUGUAG